RNAcentral lists this ribosomal RNA (446 nucleotides) under uncultured bacterium. Its description in RNAcentral is "partial 16S ribosomal RNA". It matches the Rfam family "Bacterial small subunit ribosomal RNA", at positions 338 to 795 of the family's 1533-position model. The record is from RNAcentral.
CCUACGGGUGGCAGCAGUCGAGAAUCAUUCACAAUGGGGGCAACCCUGAUGCUGCGACGCCGCGUGGGGGAAUGAAGGUCUUCGGAUUGUAACCCCCUGUCAUGUGGGAGCAGAUUAAAAAGAUAGUACCACAAGAGGAAUAGACGGCAAACUCUGUGCCAGCAGCCGCGGUAAUAAGGAGGUCUCAAGCGUUGUUCGGAAUCACUGGGCGUAAAGCGUGCGGAGGCUGUUUCGUAGGUCGUGUGUGAAAGUCGCGGGCUCAACCCGCGGACCGCACAUGAUACGGGGAGAAUAGAGUCAUGGAGGGGGAACUGGAAGUCUCGGUGUAGCAGUGAAAUGUGGAGAUAUCGAGAGGAACACUCGUGGCGAAGGCGGGUCCCUGGACAUUAACUGACGCUGAGGCACGAAGGCCAGGGGAGCGAAAGGGAUUAGAUACCCGUGUAGUC